RNAcentral lists this ribosomal RNA (501 nucleotides) under uncultured bacterium. RNAcentral's name for it is "bacterial SSU rRNA". It matches the Rfam family "Bacterial small subunit ribosomal RNA", at positions 28 to 507 of the family's 1533-position model. The record is from RNAcentral.
GACGAACGCUGGCGGCGUGCUUAACACAUGCAAGUCGAACGGGCUGGCUCUGGUUUUUUGCUGGGGUUGGUUAGUGGCGAACGGGUGAGUAACACGUGAGUAACCUGCCCUCUUCUCCUGGAUAACUGCUUGAAAGGGCGGCUAAUACGGGGUGGUCUGGCCUGCCUGCAUGGGUGGGUUGGUAUAGGUUCAACUUUGGUUGUUCUGGUGGGGGAUGGGCUCGCGGCUUAUCAGCUUGUUGGUGGGGUGAUGGCUUACCAAGGCUUUGACGGGUAGCCGGCCUGGGAGGGUGGACGGUCACACUGGGACUGAGAUACGGCCCAGACUCCUGCGGGAGGCAGCAGUGGGGAAUAUUGCACAAUGGGCGGAAGCCUGAUGCAGCGACGUCGCGUGAGGGAUGGAGGCCUUCGGGUUGUGAACCUCUUUUUCCGGUGGUGAAGGCCUGCUUCUUUGUGGGUGGGUUGACGGUAGCCGGGUUAGGAAGCGCCGGCUAACUACGUG